UAAAUAUAAUAAUGAUGCUGACGUUACUAUAGGAUUCAUGAGAUAAAGUUAUCAAGAAACUGCUGGUAAAUUUUAUAGGAAUUGUGCGUAUCUGUAAUAAUGUAUUGCAUUAGUUGUGCACUGCAUAUAAUGAAGGCAAUCUUAUCAGGCGUAUUAUCAGUUUGACGGAUAAAUAAUUAUGCAUCAACUGUUAUAUAUGUUCCUUUACAUGAUGAAGCAAGUGAUUGUUUCAUAUAUGCAGUUGUCUGAUUAAUCAUUAAUUUAUGGAGACGAUUUUGAAAAAUU
Molecule: long non-coding RNA, 285 nt
Organism: Ooceraea biroi (clonal raider ant)
Lineage: Eukaryota; Metazoa; Arthropoda; Insecta; Hymenoptera; Formicidae
Source: RefSeq, a predicted model, not a curated record